CUAGCAGGCAUUGAUUUAUGAAAGGUGCAAUAAAUGCCCUUGUGAUUGUUUG
This 52-nucleotide long non-coding RNA is filed under the name Dermacentor andersoni. Its description in RNAcentral is "uncharacterized LOC126535911". Lineage: Eukaryota; Metazoa; Arthropoda; Arachnida; Ixodida; Ixodidae. The record is from RNAcentral.